AAAAUAUAAAUUAAUAACAAUAAAUAGUAUAAUAAAAGUAAUUUUAAUAUUAAAAUAAAUAAUGGGGGUUAAAGUAUUUUAAUAGAAAAAAUUAUAAAUUUUAUAGAAAAUUAGUAUAGUAAUAGAAAUUUGAAAUAUUUGAAAAUAAAUUUAUAAAAAAGUAAAUUUUAUUUAUUGUAUCUUGUGUAUCAGAGUUUAUUAAAAAAAAUUUUUUAAUUAAAAAAAUCUCGAAUUUAAAAGAGUUAAUUAAUUAAAAAAAUUUAAUGUAAAAUAAUUAUUUUAAAUAAUUAAUUAGAAAUGAAAUGUUAAUCGUUUUUAAAUAUAUCUAGUUAUUUUAGAAAAAAAUUUAAUUUUAAAUUUAUUUAAUUUAAAAUAUUAAUUAAUUUAAUAUUUAAAAAAUUAAAUUUUAUAAUUUAAGGGAUAAACUUUAAAUUAAAUUAUUAUAAUAUAAAAAAUUUUUUUUUUAAAAUUUUUAAAAUUUAUAUUGUUUAAAAAUUAAAAUUUUUUAUAAAAAUUUUUAAUAAAAAUAAAAUUUAAUAAAUUAAAUUUAAUUUUUUAUAAAAUUAUAAUAUUUAAUAAAUAAAUAUUAGAAAAAAUGAUAAAAUUAGUAUAAUAAAUAUAAUUAUAAUAAUAUAUUAUAAAUUAAUUAUAUAAAAGGAAUUCGGCAAAUAUAUAUAUUCACCUGUUUAACAAAAACAUGUCUUUUUGAUAAAUAAUUUAAAGUCGAAUCUGCCCACUGAUAAAAUUAUUAAAGGGCUGCAGUAUAUUGACUGUACAAAGGUAGCAUAAUCAUUAGUCUUUUAAUUGAAGACUUGUAUGAAGGAUUUGAUGAAAUAUAAACUGUCUCUUAUAUAUUAAUAGAAUUUAAUUUUUUAGUUAAAAAGCUAAAAUUUAUUUAAAAGACGAGAAGACCCUAUAGAGUUUUAUAAUUAUUUUUUAAUUAUUUAUUUAUAAAUAUAAAAAAUUUUUAUUAAAUAAUUAUUUUAUUGGGGUGAUAAAAAAAUUAAAAUAACUUUUUUUAAUAAAUUAACAAAUAUAAAUGAAUAAUUGAUCCAUAAAUUAUGAUUAAAAGAAAUAAUUACCUUAGGGAUAACAGCGUAAUUUUUUUUUUUAGUACAAAUAAAAAAAAAAGUUUGCGACCUCGAUGUUGGAUUAAGAUAAAAUUUAAAUGCAAAAGUUUAAAAUUUUGAUCUGUUCGAUCAUUAAAAUCUUACAUGAUCUGAGUUCAAACCGGUGUAAGCCAGGUUGGUUUCUAUCUUUAAAAAAUUAAAAUAUUUUA
RNAcentral lists this ribosomal RNA (1279 nucleotides) under Lycaena phlaeas chinensis. Its description in RNAcentral is "partial 16S ribosomal RNA". The record is from RNAcentral. Lineage: Eukaryota; Metazoa; Arthropoda; Insecta; Lepidoptera; Lycaenidae.